GUAGAUGAUGAGGGGAGUAUGUGAGGUAGAUGAUGAGGGGAGUAUGUGAGCUAGAGGAUGAGGGGAGUAUGUGAGCUAGAGGAUGAGGGGAGUAUGUGAGGUAGAUGAUGAGGGGAGUAUGUGAGGUAGAUGAUGAGGGGAGUAUGUGAGCUAGAGGAUGAGGGGAGUAUGUGAGGUAGAUGAUGAGGGGAGUAUGUGAGCUAGAGGAUGAGGGGGGCGAAUGAAGGUGUUAAUGUGCCGCUACAUCAGUGCUGCCAAACUUCCACGGUUCACGGUGAGGGAGAGAGAGCGCACAUCGAUGUCUGUGGUUGGUGUGGAAUCUUCAAAUUGAGAUGUGCGAGUCGACUUCGAUGAAUUAUGUUUUCUAGAAGAUACGAUCGUCAUUCGCCAAGUCUUCAAGAAGAUAAUAAACUAUAAACAUGGGCGGAGUGUUGUAGUUCUGGUCUUACUAUGCCUUGUCACCGAGCCUUCAAACAAAUAUUGUCAAUAAAAAUAUUGUCAAUAAAAUGUCUUCAACA
Molecule: long non-coding RNA, 518 nt
Filed under: Pomacea canaliculata
Lineage: Eukaryota; Metazoa; Mollusca; Gastropoda; Architaenioglossa; Ampullariidae
Description: uncharacterized LOC112560042, transcript variant X2
Source: RNAcentral